AUUGCCAUAAAACAGUGAAAGCAAGAAACUUCCAACAGAUAAUUACAGAAUUCCUGAGAUCCUUCAAUAAACAUCUUCUCCCUUACCCCUGUUUCUCUCUGUUUUCUUCUAUUUCUUCAGUCCCCUCAAUCUAGAACCUUCUUCUACCCAUCAUCAUAUCUUCACUUAACUCCAAUUUAUACCCUUUAAACCCAUUAUUAAACCCACACCAUGUCCCUAAUCCCCAUUAUCAAAAUCUAAAACCCCCUAAAAUUGCACUAUUUUAAAAAUGGAAAGUGUAAUUCCAAAAGAAGAAGAGAUUACAAUCACCUACAACACAGGUACAUCAUCAUCAGCUGGAUCAUCAUCAAACUUGUCUGUGAGACCCAUGGAAGGGCUUCAUGAGAUGGGUCCACCUCCAUUUUUGAUCAAGACUUUUGAUAUGGUGGAAGAUCCUUCUACUGAUACCAUUGUUUCUUGGAGCUCAGCUCGUAAUAGCUUCAUUGUUUGGGAUUCCCAUAAGUUUUCUACUUUGCUUUUGCCUAAAUUCUUCAAGCACAGUAAUUUCUCAAGCUUUAUUCGUCAGUUAAAUACUUAUGGUUUCAGAAAGGUUGAUCCAGAUCGUUGGGAAUUUGCAAAUGAAGGCUUUCUAGGAGGGCAAAAACACUUGUUAAAAACCAUCAAAAGGAGAAGAAAUGUAGCACAAAACAUUUCAAACCAAGGUUCAGCUUGUGUUGAGAUAGGCCAUUAUGGAUUAGAUGGUGAAAUGGAAAGACUAAGGCGAGAUAGGAAUGUAUUAAUUGCCCAACUUGUAAAGCUAAGACAACAACAGCAGCUUUCCAGAGAACAAAUCCGUACAAUGGAAACUAGGCUUCAAUCUACUGAAAAAAAGCAACAACAAAUGAUGGAGUUUCUGGCCAAAGCCCUUACCAACCCAUCAUUUGUACAGAACUUAAUGCAUCGAACCGAGCAAGGUAGAAUGUUUGAAGGCAUUGAGAUUGGUAGGAAAAGGAGAUUAACUGCUAGCCCAAGCAGAGAACUUCUGCAAGAUGAAGUGUUAUCAGCAGUGGAGAACACAGAAGGGUUGACAGCAACUGUGGAAACCGAAAUCGAAACAUUAUUCUCAGCUGCAUUGGAUGAUGAAGCUAGCAGUGAUGUUAAAGGGCCUGAUUCUAUACUCUCAUCCAUUGAUCGAAAUUUGGAAAUUGUGGGUGAAAUUGAUUGGGAAGAUUUACUAAUUGAGGAAAUGGUUGGUGAAGAGCAGGACUUGGAUGUACCAGUAGAGGAUUUGGCUCCUGAAACUUCAAAUUGGGGUGAGGAUCUUCAAGACUUGAUUGAUCAAAUGGGUUUUCUAGGAUCAAUACCAAAAUGAUAAAUGAUCUUCAUAUGAUUGUUUUGUGAUGCCUCCUUGGUUUAUCUUUCAUCUUGCCUCUCAUUUAAUGAAGAGUGGCAGGAGGAUCCAAGGAGGCAUAAUUGAUGGUUUAAACAUUCUGUUUUGUAUCCUUUUCAAUUCUUUCAAGUAUUCAAUUAAGUAAAGAUUGGGUGUAAUUACUUGUACACUGAUUCGCGAGUACACUCGCGAAUUCAAACGACAAAUUUGCUUAGGAAUUAUGUUACGCUGGUUAUGAUUGUUUGUUUCUCAUUGUUUUUGCAGGGCAAGAAAAUGAUAAAGGGUAGUGCAAAUAACCGAUUUUGACUCUGUACUUUGGUGCUCAUCCAUCAGAAGCCAGGAACUUAAUUUUUCUCUUCAUAGGAGGAGCAUAAGAUAGUAUUUGGUUUGUGGGUGUGCAAUCAUAUUUGGUAAAUAGCUUAUUAGCUAUUAAUUUUGGGGUGAUAUGAAGUAUUUGGGUUGUAGAAACGGUACAUUUGUUCAUUUGUUUAGAACACUGAACUCAUCUAUCUCCAAAAGUCAGCAGUUAUCUGCAAUGUACAGCAAUUACAUAUUAUGAUUAGUGCAAGUUUUUUUUCUUUGGUACUAGACUUUGAUGUUCUGAUAAGAUGUAAGCAUUCUAUGAUCUUUGCUAUGAUAUAUGUUUAUACCCUAAAGGGCUCAUCAACAAAUCUAUUAUAUUUCUCUUAUAUGAGCUUGAUCAUCAUUGUUCAUUCAUGAUGGUGACUAAAAAAUUUCUGUUUUGGAUUUUCAAUUAAAGGUCAGUUGAUUCAGUUUUUUCUACUGUAGACUAGAGUUGUUUGGUAAAAGAUAUAUAGCGGGUAGUUGGUUGGAGUGG
This is an RNA transcript of Amaranthus tricolor (Joseph's coat), 2207 nucleotides long. It is a transcript of the gene named heat shock factor protein HSF30, with no coding region annotated. The transcript is spliced from 3 exons. NCBI's taxonomy places the organism in Eukaryota, Viridiplantae, Streptophyta, Magnoliopsida, Caryophyllales, Amaranthaceae. The record is from RefSeq and is a predicted model, not a curated record.